AGUGAGCUGUGUGGCAGCGCUCUAACUUAAUGUUGAGUGAGGAAAGUCCGAGCACCAUAGGACAGAAUACCUGUUAACGGCAGGCGGAGGUGACUCUAGGGAUAGUGCAACAGAAAUAAACCGCCCAAUAUUUAUAUUGAGUAAGGAUGGAAAGGUGAGGUAAGAGCUCACCGGAACAUGGGAAACCAUGUUGCCGUGUAAACCCUAUUCGGUGCAACAUCAGUUGAGAAUAUCGUUUGUCCGACGCUCUCGAAAGAUGGCUUUAAUAUUACGGCGACGUAAUAUAUAGAUAGAUUGUCACGUAAACAGAACUCGGCUUAUAGGUUCAGU
RNAcentral lists this RNase P RNA (330 nucleotides) under bovine gut metagenome. RNAcentral describes it as "Bacterial RNase P class A". It matches the Rfam family "Bacterial RNase P class A". Rfam says of the family: Ribonuclease P (RNase P) is a ubiquitous endoribonuclease, found in archaea, bacteria and eukarya as well as chloroplasts and mitochondria. Its best characterised activity is the generation of mature 5'-ends of tRNAs by cleaving the 5'-leader elements of precursor-tRNAs. The record is from RNAcentral.